AUGGAGACUAGCCUGCUGGUAGAGACCUUGGCAGUGACCGCUGUGGGCAAUGAGCCAUGGGCCAACAAUAUUCAAUGCUGUGUACCUGAUGGAUGGUUACUGUCUGAGACUGAGGUUUUUUGGGCCAGGAGUAAAAGGACUUGGUUUGUACUUGAUUGCAUCCUGUGGAUGCUUGCCUACCAACUGACUCAUCCCGACGUGCCAAAGGUCCUGGCUUUCCCCUGUGUGGGUAAGGGAAGACGAGAGUUCUAAUGCUCACAGACAGCUGACUUACUGAGUUUUACUAAGAAACAAAAUCACACACGGUAUAGCUCUACACAAAAGGAACAGAGAGGAUGUUGGGAGUGAGACACCAGGUUCGUGGUCUCCCUUGGGAUGCUUUGUUCAUGAACCUUUAGUGGUACUUCAAAAGGAUACAGCUUUCAAACAAUAAGUUAAGGUCUGUAAGAAUGGACAGUGGUGAGGAGGUGCUAGGACCCAUUUUUUUUUUUUUUAAGAUUCAUCUAAUUUGGUGUAGUGGCAAGGAUCUUUAAAAAAUGGCAAUAUCCUGUAAAGGAGAUUUUGCCCCUGGAACAUU
Molecule: long non-coding RNA, 577 nt
Filed under: Mus spicilegus (steppe mouse)
Lineage: Eukaryota; Metazoa; Chordata; Mammalia; Rodentia; Muridae
Description: lncRNA (ENSMSIG00000007300.1)
Source: RNAcentral